This 223-nucleotide ribosomal RNA is filed under the name uncultured bacterium. RNAcentral describes it as "partial 16S ribosomal RNA". It matches the Rfam family "Bacterial small subunit ribosomal RNA", at positions 15 to 226 of the family's 1533-position model. The record is from RNAcentral.
GAUCCUGGCUCAGGAUGAACGCUAGCUACAGGCUUAACACAUGCAAGUCGAGGGGCAGCAUGGUCUUAGCUUGCUAAGGCCGAUGGCGACCGGCGCACGGGUGAGUAACACGUAUCCAACCUGCCGUCUACUCUUGGACAGCCUUCUGAAAGGAAGAUUAAUACAAGAUGGCAUCAUGAGUUCACAUGUUCACAUGAUUAAGGUAAGUUCCGUUACGGACGAA